GACGAACGCUGGCGGCGUGCCUAAUACAUGCAAGUUGAGCGCUGAAGGUUGGUACUUGUACCGACUGGAUGAGCAGCGAACGGGUGAGUAACGCGUGGGGAAUCUGCCUUUGAGCGGGGGACAACAUUUGGAAACGAAUGCUAAUACCGCAUAAAAACUUUAAACACAAGUUUUAAGUUUGAAAGAUGCAAUUGCAUCACUUAAAGAUGAUCCCGCGUUGUAUUAGCUAGUUGGUGAGGUAAAGGCUCACCAAGGCGAUGAUACAUAGCCGACCUGAGAGGGUGAUCGGCCACAUUGGGACUGAGACACGGCCCAAACUCCUACGGGAGGCAGCAGUAGGGAAUCUUCGGCAAUGGACGAAAGUCUGACCGAGCAACGCCGCGUGAGUGAAGAAGGUUGUCGGAUCGUAAAACUCUGUUGGUAGAGAAGAACGUUGGUGAGAGUGGAAAGCUCAUCAAGUGACGGUAACUACCCAGAGAGGGACGGCUAACUACGUG
Molecule: ribosomal RNA, 497 nt
Filed under: uncultured bacterium
Lineage: Bacteria
Description: partial 16S ribosomal RNA
Rfam family: Bacterial small subunit ribosomal RNA
Source: RNAcentral